AUUGAACGCUGGCGGCAGGCCUAACACAUGCAAGUCGAGCGGAUGAAGGGAGCUUGUUCCUGGAUUCAGCGGCGGACGGGUGAGUAAUGCCUAGGAAUCUGCCUGGUAGUGGGGGAUAACGUCCGGAAACGGGCGCUAAUACCGCAUACGUCCAGAGGGAGAAAGUGGGGGAUCUUCGGACCUAGCGCUUUCAGAUGAGCCUAGGUCGGAUUAGCUAGUUGGUGGGGUAAAGGCCUACCAAGGCGACGAUCCGUAACUGGUCUGAGAGGAUGAUCAGUCACACUGGAACUGAGACACGGUCCAGACUCCUACGGGAGGCAGCAGUGGGGAAUAUUGGACAAUGGGCGAAAGCCUGAUCCAGCCAUGCCGCGUGUGUGAAGAAGGUCUUCGGAUUGUAAAGCACUUUAAGUUGGGAGGAAGAGCAGUAAGUUAAUACCUUGCUGUUUUGACGUUACCAACAGAAUAAGCACCGGCUAACUUCGUG
Molecule: ribosomal RNA, 484 nt
Filed under: uncultured bacterium
Lineage: Bacteria
Description: partial 16S ribosomal RNA
Rfam family: Bacterial small subunit ribosomal RNA
Source: RNAcentral